This 50-nucleotide transfer RNA is filed under the name Cleisostoma birmanicum. Its description in RNAcentral is "partial tRNA-Leu". The record is from RNAcentral. Lineage: Eukaryota; Viridiplantae; Streptophyta; Magnoliopsida; Asparagales; Orchidaceae.
UAAGAGGAAAAUCCGUCGAAUUUUUCAAUCGUGAGGGUUCAAGUCCCUCU